RNAcentral lists this long non-coding RNA (218 nucleotides) under Gossypium raimondii (Peruvian cotton). Its description in RNAcentral is "long non-coding RNA (GRAI_LNC003225)". The record is from RNAcentral. Lineage: Eukaryota; Viridiplantae; Streptophyta; Magnoliopsida; Malvales; Malvaceae.
CGAAAUUUUUUUUGACACGCUAGCUGCUGUAGUCGACUUGUUACCCCGUCGCCCGUCGAUCGUUCCCUCCACUCACUCCGUUGGCCUCUCUACUCCGCGUCAUCACUUUAGGUCGACGGUCUACCUCUCUCAGUUAAUGGUCGUCGGUUGUCGACUGCUGACCAAUUAACUAGCCCCUCUCUCCGUCUUUCAAAUCUUUGUUCUAAGGUAAUUUAUUU